Molecule: ribosomal RNA, 253 nt
Filed under: uncultured prokaryote
Description: partial 16S ribosomal RNA
Rfam family: Bacterial small subunit ribosomal RNA
Source: RNAcentral
ACGUAGGGUGCGAGCGUUAAUCGGAAUUACUGGGCGUAAAGCGUGCGCAGGCGGUUCGUUGUGUCGGCGGUGAAAGCCCCGGGCUUAACCUGGGAAUGGCAUUUGGGACUGCAAGGCUCGAGUGCGGCAGAGGAGACUGGAAUUCCUGGUGUAGCAGUGAAAUGCGUAGAUAUCAGGAGGAACACCGAUGGCGAAGGCAGGUCUCUGGGCUGACACUGACGCUCAUGCACGAAAGCGUGGGGAGCAAACAGGA